This 279-nucleotide ribosomal RNA is filed under the name uncultured bacterium. RNAcentral's name for it is "partial 16S ribosomal RNA". It matches the Rfam family "Bacterial small subunit ribosomal RNA", at positions 506 to 784 of the family's 1533-position model. The record is from RNAcentral.
UGCCAGCAGCCGCGGUAAUACGGAGGGUGCAAGCGUUGUUCGGAAUCACUGGGCGUAAAGCGUGCGUAGGCGGCCGGAUAAGUCGGAUGUGAAAGCCCGGGGCUCAACCCCGGAACUGCAUUCGAUACUGUUCGGCUUGAGUAUGGGAGAGGGAAGCGGAAUUCCUGGUGUAGCGGUGAAAUGCGUAGAUAUCAGGAGGAACACCCGUGGCGAAAGCGGCUUCCUGGCCCAUUACUGACGCUGAGGCACGAGAGCGUGGGGAGCAAACAGGAUUAGAUA